GGAGGUGCUGAGGUUGUCGCUGACUUUUGAAAUGGUCGUGCACACCUCGGUGCUCUCAUAUACAAUCCAUCUCACCCCUCUUGUGCAUCACCGCGUGGAGGCCCCUUUUGGCUAGUUCUAAAGGGGGUUUUCAUGUUUUUAUACAUACACCAUUUUAAUGCAAUGCGUAGAAUGUCAUACUUUUGCGAUCACACGCAAUUAAUACAACUUUCAACAACGGAUCUCUUGGCUCUCGCAUCGAUGAAGAACGCAGCGAAAUGCGAUACGUAAUGUGAAUUGCAGAAUUCAGUGAAUCAUCGAAUCUUUGAACGCACCUUGCGCCCUUUGGUAUUCCGAAGGGCACACCCGUUUGAGUGUCGUGACAUCCUCAAACCUUCUUGGUUUCUUGACCAGGAAGGCUUUGGACUCUGGAGGUUCUUGCUGGCUUUCCUUUGUUGAAGCCAGCUCCUCUAAAAUGAAUUAGUGGGAUCUGCUUUGCCAAUCCUUGACGUGAUAAGAUAUUUCUACGUCUUGGGUCUUGCACUGUUUGCUCUGGAUCUCGCUUCUAACCGUCUUAUACAAGACAAUUGUCGAGUGAUUACCACUUGGCCCACAAACCUUGACCUCA
This 607-nucleotide ribosomal RNA is filed under the name Russula praetervisa. Its description in RNAcentral is "eukaryotic LSU rRNA". The stretch from base 206 to 359 matches the Rfam family "5.8S ribosomal RNA". Lineage: Eukaryota; Fungi; Basidiomycota; Agaricomycetes; Russulales; Russulaceae. The record is from RNAcentral.